This 426-nucleotide ribosomal RNA is filed under the name uncultured bacterium. RNAcentral describes it as "bacterial SSU rRNA". It matches the Rfam family "Bacterial small subunit ribosomal RNA", at positions 30 to 458 of the family's 1533-position model. The record is from RNAcentral.
AUUGAACGCUGGCGGCAUGCCUUACACAUGCAAGUCGAACGGCAGCACGGGAGCAAUCCUGGUGGCGAGUGGCGAACGGGUGAGUAAUAUAUCGGAACGUGCCCAGUCGUGGGGAUAACGUAGCGAAAGCUACGCUAAUACCGCAUACGAUCUAUGGAUGAAAGCGGGGGAUCGCAAGACCUCGCGCGAUUGGAGCGGCCGAUAUCAGAUUAGGUAGUUGGUGAGGUAAAGGCUCACCAAGCCGACGAUCUGUAGCUGGUCUGAGAGGACGACCAGCCACACUGGGACUGAGACACGGCCCAGACUCCUACGGGAGGCAGCAGUGGGGAAUUUUGGACAAUGGGCGCAAGCCUGAUCCAGCAAUGCCGCGUGCAGGAUGAAGGCCUUCGGUUGUAACUAGCUUUGUACGGUAACGAAACGGUGAGC